This 65-nucleotide transfer RNA is filed under the name Cavia porcellus (domestic guinea pig). It matches the Rfam family "tRNA". Rfam says of the family: Transfer RNA (tRNA) molecules are approximately 80 nucleotides in length. Their secondary structure includes four short double-helical elements and three loops (D, anti-codon, and T loops). The record is from Rfam by way of RNAcentral. Lineage: Eukaryota; Metazoa; Chordata; Mammalia; Rodentia; Caviidae.
GGUGUAGCUCAAUGAUAGAGCACUUGCUUAGCAUGCAUGAGGCUCUUGGUUCUAAACCUAGCACC